RNAcentral lists this ribosomal RNA (756 nucleotides) under Salmonella enterica subsp. enterica serovar Uzaramo. Its description in RNAcentral is "partial 23S ribosomal RNA". It matches the Rfam family "Bacterial large subunit ribosomal RNA", at positions 1 to 688 of the family's 2925-position model. The record is from RNAcentral. Lineage: Bacteria; Pseudomonadati; Pseudomonadota; Gammaproteobacteria; Enterobacterales; Enterobacteriaceae.
GGGUUGUGAGGUUAAGCGACUAAGCGUACACGGUGGAUGCCCUGGCAGUCAGAGGCGAUGAAGGGCGUGCUAAUCUGCGAUAAGCGCCGGUAAGGUGAUAUGAACCGUUAUAACCGGCGAUACCCGAAUGGGGAAACCCAGUGUGAUUCGUCACACUAUCAUUAACUGAAUCCAUAGGUUAAUGAGGCGAACCGGGGGAACUGAAACAUCUAAGUACCCCGAGGAAAAGAAAUCAACCGAGAUUCCCCCAGUAGCGGCGAGCGAACGGGGAGGAGCCCAGAGCCUGAAUCAGCAUGUGUGUUAGUGGAAGUGUCUGGAAAGGCGCGCGAUACAGGGUGACAGCCCCGUACACAAAAGCGCAUGUGCUGUGAGCUCGAUGAGUAGGGCGGGACACGUGGUAUCCUGUCUGAAUAUGGGGGGACCAUCCUCCAAGGCUAAAUACUCCUGACUGACCGAUAGUGAACCAGUACCGUGAGGGAAAGGCGAAAAGAACCCCGGCGAGGGGAGUGAAAAAGAACCUGAAACCGUGUACGUACAAGCAGUGGGAGCCCCACCACCAAAGCAUUCUCUGGUGUUGAAGGCCCUGCAAAGCAGCAUCGCGGUGGCGGAGCGUCGUUUGCGACGCCCAACACACAAAACAAGCGGUGAGUGCUUUGGGGUGGGGUGACUGCGUACCUUUUGUAUAAUGGGUCAGCGACUUAUAUUCUGUAGCAAGGUUAACCGCAUAGGGGAGCCGGAGGGAAACCGAGUCUUAAU